UCCCUGAUGGCUCAGACGGUAAAGCGUCUGCCUGCAACGCGGGAGAUCCGGGUUUGAUCCCUGGGUUGGGAA
This 72-nucleotide transfer RNA is filed under the name Bos taurus (domestic cattle). It matches the Rfam family "tRNA". Rfam says of the family: Transfer RNA (tRNA) molecules are approximately 80 nucleotides in length. Their secondary structure includes four short double-helical elements and three loops (D, anti-codon, and T loops). Lineage: Eukaryota; Metazoa; Chordata; Mammalia; Artiodactyla; Bovidae. The record is from Rfam by way of RNAcentral. RNAcentral also lists the same sequence under 2 other names.